This is a long non-coding RNA of Corvus hawaiiensis (hawaiian crow), 136 nucleotides long. RefSeq lists it as uncharacterized. The record is from RefSeq and is a predicted model, not a curated record. The transcript has 3 exons. NCBI's taxonomy places the organism in Eukaryota, Metazoa, Chordata, Aves, Passeriformes, Corvidae.
CAUAGGAUACUCUGAGUUGGAAGGGACCCACAAGGAUCAUUGAAAUCCAACUCCUAGUCCCGCACAGGACAUCCAAGAAUCCCACCACGGGCCUGAGAGCAUUGUCCAAAUGCUUCUUGAACUCUGUCACGCUUGU